Molecule: RNA transcript, 3086 nt
Organism: Panicum virgatum (switchgrass)
Lineage: Eukaryota; Viridiplantae; Streptophyta; Magnoliopsida; Poales; Poaceae
Exons: 3
Source: RefSeq, a predicted model, not a curated record
GUUGUUAGGUUUUAUUUCAAUGGAGUAUUUAUUCUUGAUGGAUCAUCAGUACAAUAUUGUAAUGGAGAUGAGGGAGUUUUACAUAUAGAUAAGGAUAAAUUGUCCAUCCCAGAGCUUGAAGGCCAUCUGAUGGAUCACACAACUUUUAAGAGGUCUGUUAGGAUGUAUUGGUUGCCAUUUGGCGCAGCAGUGAAUACUGGAAUGAGGAUGUUAGUAGAUGAUAAGUCAUGCCUUGAAAUGGUAGAUGCAAUAGGAUCUGAUGGCGCAGUGGAUAUAUACACAGAAUUAAUUGAUGUGGACAUGGCUGGAUUUAGUGAAACGGAAUUACAAGAUGGAGCUGGAGAUGAAGCUGUGUUUGACCUGUUUAGAGAUGAAAAUGUCUUAAAUUUAGAUCCUCCCGCAGCCACAUUUGCAAAUGCACAUCAUGGUGGCCAAAUUGCAGAAGAUGAAAACAUCUUGGACUUUGGUGCAGCAGCUACAGUUGAGGAUGCACAGAUUGGUGAAGCAAGUACUGAUGAUGAACAAGAAGAGGCUUUAGAUAGUGAAUGUGAAGCCACAGGGUUCACAUCUGAUGAGGACGAUGAAGCGAAGGACAUAAGAAACAAUUACAAAGCAUAUAUGUCAAGAAGGAAGAAGAGAGGAGGCAUUCCUGAGGACACCCCCACUACAAUGGAUCUUCCAACAGGGAAUGAUCCUAACAAUAUGAGUAUGGUUCAGGUGGAUGAAUUUGGAGAUGGCAUUGCAUAUUUUGAUUCAGAUGAAGAUGUAUCAUAUGAUGAUGAUAGUGACACUGAUGCAAAGAGAAGGAAGUGCAGAUUCCCAAUAUUUGAUAGCCAUGCCGACACACCUCAGUUUGCCUUAGACAUGUGUUUUAGAGGCAAGAAGGAAUUAAAAGAUGAAAUAGAAAGGUAUGCACUGAAGAUGAAGGUAAAUAUUAGGUUUCCUAAGAAUGACAAGCAGAGGUUAAGGGCUGUUUGCUCAUGGAAAGGUUGUCCUUGGCUUUUGUAUGCUUCAUACAACUCCAAAACUGACUGGUUUCAGAUUGUAACAUAUAAUCCCAACCAUCAUUGUUGCCCAAUCUUGAAAAACAAAAGAUUAUCUAUAAGUAGAAUCUGUGAUAGUUAUGAGAGUACUAUUAAGGCUAACCCAGCAUGGAAGGCUAGAGCAAUGAAGGAGACGAUACAAGAAGAUAUGGGUGUCGAGGUUUCAUUGACAAUGGUGAAAAGAGCAAAAGCCAAGGUUAUUAGGAAGGUCAUGGAUGCUCGGAGUGGUGAGUACGCAAAGUUAUUUGACUAUGCCCUUGAGCUGAAGCGCAGUAAUCCUGGUAGCAGUGUGCAUAUUGCCCUUGAUCCCGAGGAAGAGGACCAUGUGUUUCAAAGAAUGUAUAUUUGCUUGGAUGCUUGUCGAAAAGGUUUCUUAGAUGGAUGCAGGAGGGUGAUAGGGCUUGAUGGUUGCUUUCUAAAGGGUUCUAUGAAAGGGGAGUGCUGUCAGCUAUUGGGAGAGAUGGAAAUAAUCAGAUUUACCCUAUAGCUUGGGCUGUUGUGGAAUAUGAGAAUUUAAGUUCAUGGAAAUGGUUUCUUGGGCACCUUCAAAAAGAUUUGAAAAUUCCUCAUGGUGCUGAAGGAUGGGUGUUGCUUACAGACAAACAAAAGGGUUUGCUGAAGGCAAUUGACUUGUUCUUUCCAAUGGCUGAGCAUCGAAUGUGUGCACGACACAUUUAUGCAAACUGGAGAAAAAAACAUAGGCUACAGGAGUACCAAAAGAGAUUUUGGAAGAUUGCAAAGUCAUGUAAUGAGAUGCAGUUUAAUCAUUACAAGAGCAAGUUAGCUGCCAAGACACCUAAAGGAUGGGCUGAUUUGCAAAAAACAGAACCAGUACAUUGGUGCCGGGCUUGGUUCAAAACUGGAUCCAAUUGCGAGUCAGUUGAUAACAAUGUGAGUGAAUCAUUCAAUAGCUGGAUUAUAGAUGCAAGAUUUAAACCUAUCCUUGCCAUGUUGGAGGAAAUACGUAUCAUGGUGACAAGAAGGAUUCAAGAGAACAGGAGCAAUAGUGAGAGAUGGGCAAUGACAAUAUGCCCCAACGUUCUCAGGAAGGUAAAUAAAAUUAGGCAUGCAACCCAAUACUGUCAUGUCCUAUGGAAUGGUGCAAAUGGAUUUGAAGUGAGGGACAAGAAAUGGAGGUUCACGGUUGAUCUGGGACAAAAGACAUGUUCCUGUAGAUAUUGGCAAAUCUCAGGUAUCCCAUGUCGACAUGCUUGUGCAGCCCUGUUCACAAUCUCAGAUGAGCCGAACAAUUAUGUAAAUACAUGCUUCUCUAUUGACCAAUACAAGAUAACUUAUCAGCACGUCCUCCAACCAGUGGAGCAUGAGUCUGCUUGGCCUGUGUCCCCAAAUCCUAAACCGUUGCCUCCUAGAGUGAAGAAGAUGCCAGGUCGCCCACAAACAAAAAGGAGGAUGGAUCCUUCAGAACGAAUGAACUUGAGCACUAAAUCCUCUAGAGUUGGCACUAAAAUCAGAUGCAGACGUUGCAGCGGCCUUGGACACAACACUAAGACAUGCUCUGUUCAACCGCAGCAGGACUCGACAUCGCAUAAUCCUUCUCACAAUAGUAAUGCACCAUUGGCCAUUGAACCAGCACCAUCUAAAGGAAAGGGUCAAGCUGCAUCUUCGAGCACAAAGUCAACUAAAAGAAAGGCAAUUGAGGGCUACAGAUUUUAUUAUAGUGAAAGAACUGGUUCAUCAUUUAUUCAGACUGGUCAAAAGAGAAGAGUGGUGUCGUUUGGGAAGUCGAAGUCUGAAGCUAAAGCCACUGCUGAUGGGAAUGCAUCUGUUGUCAUUGAGACAAGUGCAGGUGGUGCCACCUCGUCUGCAAGAGCAACCAUCAACUGCAAAGAUUAAAUCUAGUUCAACAAGCAGAGGAAGGCCAAAUAAAUCGUGAUAGUAGUCUGUAUCAUCUAAGAAGAAUUUGUUGUUAUUGGCCUUUCAUUUUUUUAAUGGUUCUUGUGUCUGCAUCUUGUAAUCGGAGCCUGAAAUAUUUGUGUUAGCAUCUUCUACUUUGCACAUGAAACAUCGUGUCAAUUUCAUGCC